GCUGGGCGUGGUGGCUCAUGCCUGUAAUCCUAGCUACUUGGGAGGCUGAGGCAGGAGAAUUGCUUGAACCCGGGAGGUGGAGGUUGCAGUGAGCUGAGAUUGUGCCACUGUACUCCAGCCUGGGUGACAGAGCGAGACUCCGUCUCAA
RNAcentral lists this non-coding RNA (148 nucleotides) under Nomascus leucogenys (northern white-cheeked gibbon). Lineage: Eukaryota; Metazoa; Chordata; Mammalia; Primates; Hylobatidae. The record is from Rfam by way of RNAcentral.